AGUGAACGCUGGCGGUAGGCCUAACACAUGCAAGUCGAACGGCAGCACAGUAAGAGCUUGCUCUUACGGGUGGCGAGUGGCGGACGGGUGAGGAAUACAUCGGAAUCUACUUUUUCGUGGGGGAUAACGUAGGGAAACUUACGCUAAUACCGCAUACGACCUACGGGUGAAAGCAGGGGAUCUUCGGACCUUGCGCGAUUGAAUGAGCCGAUGUCGGAUUAGCUAGUUGGCGGGGUAAAGGCCCACCAGGGCGACGAUCCGUAGCUGGUCUGAGAGGAUGAUCAGCCACACUGGAACUAGGACACGGUCCAGACUCUUACGGGAGGCAGCAGUGGGGAAUAUCGGACAAUGGGCGCAAGCCUGAGCCAGCCAUACCGCGUGGGUGAAGAAGGCUUUCGGGUUGUAAAGCCCUUUUGUUGGGAAAGAAAAGCAGCAGGUUAAUACCCCGCUGUUCGGACGGUACCCAAAGAAUAAGCACCGGCUAACUUCGU
Molecule: ribosomal RNA, 491 nt
Filed under: uncultured bacterium
Lineage: Bacteria
Description: partial 16S ribosomal RNA
Rfam family: Bacterial small subunit ribosomal RNA
Source: RNAcentral